This 253-nucleotide ribosomal RNA is filed under the name uncultured bacterium. Its description in RNAcentral is "partial 16S ribosomal RNA". It matches the Rfam family "Bacterial small subunit ribosomal RNA", at positions 524 to 776 of the family's 1533-position model. The record is from RNAcentral.
UACAGAGGUGGCAAGCGUUGUUCGGAUUUACUGGGCGUAAAGGGUGCGUAGGCGGUCUCGCGUGUCGGGUGUGAAAUCCCACGGAUCAUCCGUGGAACUGCACUCGAAACUGCGGGGCUGGAGUGCAGGAGAGGAAGGUGGAAUUCUCGGUGUAGCGGUGAAAUGCGUUGAUAUCGAGAGGAACGCCGGUGGCGAAGGCGGCCUUCUGGACUGUAACUGACGCUGAGGCACGAAAGCUAGGGGAGCAAACAGG